CUUAAUUCCUGUGACUCUUCGCAUCUAGGCAGGUGACAAGGAUCUGAAAUCAUACUGUGUAUGGCCAAGCAAAGUUGCUGUACGGGCUGAGUCUUCUGCUGCAAGAUGUCUGAAAAUGCGUCUUGGUUAUCUGUGUUGUGACUUAUUUGAACAUACGUCGGCUUUCCUCCAUUUAUCGGAAUCUCUACUAGAAGUGAAAAGAAUGGGGGAGAAAGCAUAUUGCCUCACUGAGCCGAAGUUAUUAUUGUUAUUUACAGCGACAGAGAGGAAGGUGGAAAUAACAGCGAUUUGCUUUUGGUGGUCUUCACACGCAGGUCAGGAACCGAGGACUGGACUUGGGGGUGGAGAGGUACGUCACCAGGUCACCAGAGGCAGCACGCUAUUCUCCUAGGUUUGCUUUACUAUUCUUAGAAGCUCUUUCAGUGUGGAGCUGAUGGCUUCUACUUCUCUUCAUCCACAGCACUAGACCUAUAGAUUGGUUAACUUUAUUGGCUUCUUUUUUAUGCAUCACAACAGAUAUCGAGUCUUUAAAACAUGGUGUUACCGUGCCUUUAAUGUAAGGGUGGAAAUUGCCACCACUGAAAAAUCUUGACAUCACUCAACUUUCUGGGACCCUGUUUUGGUUCCCAGGGCAUCUGAGUUCUUAACGUACCUUGAAACCUCAACACAUCGCUUAUUGCUUCCAGAUACCGAGGCCAUCCUCUCUUGGAAACGCUGUGCUCCCCUACUCAAUUGCAAACAGUGGUAAAGGAAUGCUAUAUUGGUGGCCUAUUGUUCUAGCCUGGCAGCCCCUGGAAGACAUUUGUAACAUGUUUUUUAAGUUUUGGAUUUUAAAGCGAAUAUUUACAGGGUCAGCUGUGUAAUGUUUUUUCACUAAUUAGACUAAGUCCUUACAGUUCGCCCCUCCUUUGUGUUGUAUGUUUACUGUGACCUAUAUAACACGCAAAGAUACAUAAAGUCUUUAGUAAAACACGUAAUAAGUAAUUAAGUAACUUCAUUAUUGAGUUCUUGGCCAGGGUCUUUUUAGCCACAUCUCCCUCCCUUCCCUUCUUCCCUUUGUUUUGAAGGCUCUCCAGGCCUGUGCCUUCGGGGACCCAUAAUUACUCGGCCUUUGUUCCCAGUGGGCCCUCUGUUCUCUGGGCCCACCUCCCUGAGCGAUGUAGUGGGUCCAGGGGUUUUAUUCUCCCAUCCCUUGAGGGGUCUUGUGGCUCUGUUGAAUUUCAGGCCUGGGAUUUCCAGAGAUCUUCGCUGGGCAACACUGGGUGGCCUGGCCUGCCUCCUUUACUCUCAGUGCUAUAGAGCUGUGAGCAAAGAGCAUUAGUGGAGGAGGGGAAAAAAAACUGCCCACCAGCUGGGGUCUGGAGUGCAGUUCCACCCUGGGUUGCAGGAUU
RNAcentral lists this long non-coding RNA (1391 nucleotides) under Ursus americanus (American black bear). RNAcentral's name for it is "lncRNA (ENSUAMG00000022275.1)". Lineage: Eukaryota; Metazoa; Chordata; Mammalia; Carnivora; Ursidae. The record is from RNAcentral.